UACGUAGGGUGCGAGCGUUAAUCGGAAUUACUGGGCGUAAAGUGUGCGCAGGCGGCCGAGCAAGUCGAGUGUGAAAGCCCCGGGCUUAACCUGGGAACUGCAUUUGUGACUGCAUCGCUGGAGUGCGGCAGAGGGGGAUGGAAUUCCGCGUGUAGCAGUGAAAUGCGUAGAUAUGCGGAGGAACACCGAUGGCGAAGGCAAUCCCCUGGGCCUGCACUGACGCUCAUGCACGAAAGCGUGGGGAGCAAAAGGG
RNAcentral lists this ribosomal RNA (253 nucleotides) under uncultured bacterium. RNAcentral's name for it is "partial 16S ribosomal RNA". It matches the Rfam family "Bacterial small subunit ribosomal RNA", at positions 524 to 776 of the family's 1533-position model. The record is from RNAcentral.